UGGUGGGAUAAGCUAAUCAACUAAGCUGUUGGGCUCAUAACCCAAAAAUAGAUAUACUCUUCCCACUAA
Molecule: transfer RNA, 69 nt
Filed under: Sinosolenaia oleivora
Lineage: Eukaryota; Metazoa; Mollusca; Bivalvia; Unionida; Unionidae
Description: tRNA-Met
Source: RNAcentral